Molecule: long non-coding RNA, 2622 nt
Organism: Equus caballus (horse)
Lineage: Eukaryota; Metazoa; Chordata; Mammalia; Perissodactyla; Equidae
Source: Ensembl
GAUUAAAGUGCGGUUACAUUGUGAAACUGUAAUGAGUUGUACUUUUGAAAAGGCAGACUUCCUAGUGGGAAUCACCAUGGAGGUCCAGAAGAAAAUGGAGCUGAUAACCUGAGCACAACCAGUGGCUCCAUCACCAGAAGUGCUCAAGGUUGUCUAUUACCACAACUCUUCGAAUCAUUCUCUCAGCAAGCAUUGAUUAUAUACCUCUUAUUGCCCUGGCACUGUGUAAAAAAAACCAAAAAAAGACAAAGAAGACAUGGUUCCUCUCCUUAAAGAGCUCACAAGUCUAGUAGAAGGAGAUAUGCAAUCAAAUAAAUACAAGAUGUGCAUUGCAAGUGCUCAGGACACUGCCAGGGCCAGUGGGGAGAGUGGAGGGACAAGUGGCUUUCUUAGGGAGGGAGGUAUCAAGAAAGGCUUCCAAAAAGAGGUGGCAAUUGAGUUAACUUUGAAAAAGGAACAAGGAAACCCAGGUAGAGAGGGAGUGAGAAGGGCGUUCUCGGCGGAUGGAGCUGCUCGGAGCAAGAGCUUUAUGUGGGGAAGGCCUGCAUAUUUCAGAAGGGUCUAGUGGGAGGAGGUGGGGGUUGUCCAGGCUAUGAUAAGGCUGAACCCCAAGUGCACUGCAAUAGCAUCUGUGUAUUUAUAUAGACUCUAAAGAAUGUCAUUCCUAAUGACAGAAAUGGAGUGGCAGAUGAAAUAAUAAUGCAAGGGGGAGGAGAGUAAACGGAGUUAUGCUAUUUCAGGACCUCCAGCAGCUCCGUUUUGGAAAACCAUUAAGAUAAUUUUACACAAUUUCUAACCUGAACAGAGAUCAGCAUAAGUAUAUAGAAUGUGCAGGUGAACAGCCGUCGUUUUUAAAAGAAUGAAUUGUUUUACUAUUAUUACUAUUAUGUUUACUACUGUUACUAUAGUAUAUUUACCAUUAUUCACUGUUACUAGUAGCAUAACUGUCAUGCUAAUGUUGCUUCACUAAUUUGAUUUACUAAUGUCCUACUACACUUAUUACUUCAUGGACUACUUCCUAUUCGCAGGACACAUUUUGUAUUUGCUGUAUCUAAAUUUGUUCCUGUUAUUUUCUCUUCCAGGAAUGCCUUCCCAUCACACUUUUAAAAAAAGUAUAGGGGGCUGGCUCUGUGGCUGAGCGGUUAAGCUCGAGUGCUCUGCUGAGGCAGCCCAGGGUUCGGAUCCUGGGCACAGACAUGGCACUGCUCGUCAGGCCACGUUGAGGCAGCGUCCCACAUCCCACAACUGGAAGGACCUGCAACUAGGAUAUACAACUAUGUACUCGGGGAGUUUGGGAAAUAAAGCAGAAAAAAAAAAAGAUUGGCAACAGUUGUAAGCCCAGGCCAUUCUUUCUGGGACAGCUAUUUGUUGAAGGAUAAUGGAAAAAAGGACUGAAGGGAUGAACUGGGAGAGCAAGUAGAGCUCUGCCAACAGGAGGCGCUCGGGGAUACAGGAAAGCUGGCGGAGGGAGAAGGGGCUUGCUGCUUCCUGUUUGCUUCCUGUUUCUGCCAGCAUCACCUCAGCAAUGGUUCUUCCUCCUGACAGCGGCUGUUGGAUUCCAGUUCUCGGGAUUGCUCGCCUUCCCUCCUACCCAGGGCAGUCUUCCAGACCUGGCCUAUAGUGUCCCCUCAGAGAUACCAGCACCUAGCCAGCACCCCGUCCUCAGAGGUCCAGGUCCAGCUCCAAGAGGCCCUCCUCUGAGUUCCUGAGGCAUCAGCACCAGUCAAGUCAACCCCCUCCUCCAGGUCUGGAUCCCAGCUCUGCCUGGCCCUUCCUCUAAGCUUCCAGGGCAGCAGCACCAGCUUCUAGGUUCUAAUAACCCACCCUUCCCUUUGCUGCCACCACCACAGGAGUGCUAACUGUUUCUUGCAGUUCCUGUCUUGGUGUUAUCUCAGUGUUACUCUUUUGCCUUUUCAGUUUCUUAGAUACCAAUUCCUAUAAUAUGUUCUCUCAGUCAAAAAAGGCUGGUCCAGCUUCUGUUUUCUUGACUGGACCCUGACUGAUACCAGCAGACUCCCAGGAAACAGACUCGAGGUGGGAUUUUGAGAUGAGGCUUGAUCUCGCCUUUGGCCUUGAACACAGCACUGACCCCUAGUGCCACCACAAUUAAUCAGGUUAUCACUAGUUGAUGGCAGUGAAAUACCUACUGCAGCAAGUACCUUUGGAGACCCAGCGGCUGCUGUGUUUCACCACUGUGACUGACUACAAGGAUGUGGCUAUUUCUGAGCGUGCUGGAGCGCUUACAGGAAGAAAAUGACCAGAUCAAGUUGUGGUCAGAGAACCAGAGAACCUCAAAGCCAGUUCUAAAAGAACCUCUUGAUUCUUAUAGCUGCUCUGCAGGAUGCACCAUUACAGUGUGAGUUGAAUUCACAGCCUUCCCAAGUCUCUAUGUAGAAUUAGGAUGUUGAUUGGGAAGGAGAGAGACCCUGAGAUUUGGAAUGAGGACAUCGAAACAUAACAGAAAAUCGGGUGCUCCCUAGUCCAAGCUCUGCUUUCUAGUAACUCCAGCCCUCGGGGAGAACUACUUCCUGGGCCACAAGUUGGGGGGUCGUCUUUUGCUUUUUAACUUCUCUAACCUGUUUAAUAAAUCCCUAACAUUAAAGCCUCUUUGGUAAAACAAAC